This 337-nucleotide ribosomal RNA is filed under the name uncultured bacterium. Its description in RNAcentral is "bacterial SSU rRNA". It matches the Rfam family "Bacterial small subunit ribosomal RNA", at positions 8 to 334 of the family's 1533-position model. The record is from RNAcentral.
AGGGUUUGAUUAUGGCUCAGGAUGAACGCUAGCUACAGGCUUAACACAUGCAAGUCGAGGGGAAACGAUAUUGGAAGCUUGCUUCCGAUAGGCGUCGACCGGCGCACGGGUGAGUAACGCGUAUCCAACCUGCCCACCACUUGGGGAUAACCUUGCGAAAGUAAGACUAAUACCCAAUGAUAUCUCUAGAAGACAUCUGAAAGAGAUUAAAGAUUUAUCGGUGAUGGAUGGGGAUGCGUCUGAUUAGCUUGUUGGCGGGGUAACGGCCCACCAAGGCAACGAUCAGUAGGGGUUCUGAGAGGAAGGUCCCCCACAUUGGAACUGAGACACGGUCCAA